Molecule: ribosomal RNA, 497 nt
Filed under: uncultured bacterium
Lineage: Bacteria
Description: bacterial SSU rRNA
Rfam family: Bacterial small subunit ribosomal RNA
Source: RNAcentral
CGAACGCUGGCGGCGUGCUUAACACAUGCAAGUCGAACGAGACGAUUGAAAGCUUGCUUUUGAAAGUCGAGUGGCAAACGGGUGAGUAACGCGUAGGCAACCUGCCCAUGAGAUGGGGACAACAUUCCGAAAGGGAUGCUAAUACCGAAUGAUGUUACGGAGUCGCAUGACUCUGCAACCAAAGGCUGAGCAAUCGGUCACUCAUGGAUGGGCCUGCGUCUGAUUAGCUAGUUGGUGGGGUAACGGCCCACCAAGGCGACGAUCAGUAGCCGGUCUGAGAGGAUGAACGGCCACAUUGGGACUGAGACACGGCCCAGACUCCUACGGGAGGCAGCAGUGGGGAAUCUUCCGCAAUGGGCGAAAGCCUGACGGAGCAACGCCGCGUGAGUGAAGAAGGUCUUCGGAUCGUAAAGCUCUGUUGAGAGGGACGAGAGAUUACUUCAGGAAAUGGGAGUAAGAGGACGGUACCUUUCGAGGAAGCCACGGCUAACUACGUG